This is a long non-coding RNA of Saccostrea cuccullata (small rock oyster), 417 nucleotides long. RefSeq lists it as uncharacterized. Lineage: Eukaryota; Metazoa; Mollusca; Bivalvia; Ostreida; Ostreidae. The record is from RefSeq and is a predicted model, not a curated record. The transcript has 3 exons.
UGUUUGGAAACCGACGGAGAAAACCUUUAUCGCGUCGAUUGUCUUGGAUUUUCAUCAGGUUGUCCUGACGAAGACUAUCAAAGCAAUACAAUAUACCAAUAUACUGCUUGUCAAAGAAUCAACACUGAAAAACAAUGUUUUCUUGCUGAAUCCUCAUGUCCUAAUAUCUCAUGGAGCACUGCUACCAGCAACACAUCAUUUCAUAUCCAAACAACAACACCCGCUCCUCAAUAUGACCCAUCAUAUGCAGCAGAGAUUGCAGGCGGUCUGGUUGCUGGUCUGUUUAUACUUGCCGUUAUUCUGAUAAUUGCUGUGGUCCUUUGGAGGAGACAGAAGCAUCAGAAAAUUCAGGAACAAGAAGACACACAAUGCAUUCUCUUCAAGCGGAAACGUAUCAAAUGUGACGAAGAAAGUCGG